AUUGAACGCUGGCGGCAGGCCUAACACAUGCAAGUCGAGCGGGGUUUUCGGACCUAGCGGCGGACGGGUGAGUAAUGCGUAGGAAGCUACCCGAUAGAGGGGGAUACCAGUUGGAAACGACUGUUAAUACCGCAUAAUGUCUACGGACCAAAGUGUGGGACCUUCGGGCCACAUGCUAUCGGAUGCGCCUACGUGGGAUUAGCUAGUUGGUGAGGUAAUGGCUCACCAAGGCGACGAUCUCUAGCUGGUUUGAGAGGAUGAUCAGCCACACUGGAACUGAGACACGGUCCAGACUCCUACGGGAGGCAGCAGUGGGGAAUAUUGGACAAUGGGCGCAAGCCUGAUCCAGCCAUGCCGCGUGUGUGAAGAAGGCCUUAGGGUUGUAAAGCACUUUCAGCGAGGAGGAAGGGGUUGUAGUUAAUAGCUGCAAUCUUUGACGUUACUCGCAGAAGAAGCACCGGCUAACUCUGUGCCAGCAGCCG
RNAcentral lists this ribosomal RNA (482 nucleotides) under uncultured bacterium. RNAcentral's name for it is "bacterial SSU rRNA". It matches the Rfam family "Bacterial small subunit ribosomal RNA", at positions 30 to 517 of the family's 1533-position model. The record is from RNAcentral.